GGGGGGGGGGGGGGGGGGGCCGGGUGCGGGCGGGGCGGGCGAGCAGGCGAGGGGCUGGCUGCACGGGCGUGAGGGGCGGGCGGGUUGGUCACACGUGGGUAACCUACCUAUAAGACUGGGAUAACUUCGGGAAACCGGAGCUAAUACCGGAUAAUCUAUUGAACCGCAUGGUUCAAUAGUGAAAGACGGUUUUGCUGUCACUUAUAGAUGGAUCCGCGCCGCGUUAGCUGGUUGGUAAGGUAACGGCUUACCAAGGCAACGAUGCGUAGCCGCCCUGAGAGGGUGAUCGGCCACACUGGAACUGAGACACGGGCCAGACUCCUACGGGAGGCAGCAGUGGGGAAUCUUGCGCAAUGGGCGAAAGCCUGACGGAGCAACGCCGCGUGAGUGAUGAAGGUCUUCGGAUCGUAAAACUCUGUUAUUAGGGAAGAACAAAUGUGUAAGUAACUAUGCACGUCUUGACGGUACCUAAUCAGAAAGCCACGGCUAACUACGUG
This 497-nucleotide ribosomal RNA is filed under the name uncultured bacterium. RNAcentral describes it as "partial 16S ribosomal RNA". It matches the Rfam family "Bacterial small subunit ribosomal RNA", at positions 27 to 507 of the family's 1533-position model. The record is from RNAcentral.